GACGAACGCUGGCGGCGUGCUUAACACAUGCAAGUCGAACGGAAAGGCCCUGCUUUUGUGGGGUGCUCGAGUGGCGAACGGGUGAGUAACACGUGAGUAACCUGCCCUUGACUUUGGGAUAACUUCAGGAAACUGGGGCUAAUACCGGAUAGGAGCUCCUGCUGCAUGGUGGGGGUUGGAAAGUUUCGGCGGUUGGGGAUGGACUCGCGGCUUAUCAGCUUGUUGGUGGGGUAGCGGCUUACCAAGGCUUUGACGGGUAGCCGGCCUGAGAGGGUGACCGGCCACAUGGGGACUGAGAUACGGCCCAGACUCCUACGGGAGGGAGCAGUGGGGAAUAUUGCACAAUGGGCGGAAGCCUGAUGCAGCAACGCCGCGUGCGGGAUGACGGCCUUCGGGUUGUAAACCGCUUUCGCCUGUGACGAAGCGUGAGGGACGGUAAUGGGUAAAGAAGCACCGGCUAACUACGU
This 467-nucleotide ribosomal RNA is filed under the name uncultured bacterium. Its description in RNAcentral is "partial 16S ribosomal RNA". It matches the Rfam family "Bacterial small subunit ribosomal RNA", at positions 28 to 506 of the family's 1533-position model. The record is from RNAcentral.